GACGAACGCUGGCGGCGUGCUUAACACAUGCAAGUCGAACGGAAAGGCCCUGCUUUUGUGGGGUGCUCGAGUGGCGAACGGGUGAGUAACACGUGAGUAACCUGCCCUUGACUUUAGGAUAACUUCAGGAAACUGGGGCUAAUACCGGAUAGGAGCUCCUGCUGCAUGGUGGGGGUUGGAAAGUUUCGGCGGUUGGGGAUGGACUCGCGGCUUAUCAGCUUGUUGGUGGGGUAGUGGCUUACCAAGGCUUUGACGGGUAGCCGGCCUGAGAGGGUGACCGGCCACAUUGGGACUGAGAUACGGCCCAGACUCCUACGGGAGGCAGCAGUGGGGAAUAUUGCACAAUGGGCGGAAGCCUGAUGCAGCAACGCCGCGUGCGGGAUGACGGCCUUCGGGUUGUAAACCGCUUCCGCCUGUGACGAAGCGUGAGUGACGGUAAUGGGUAAAGAAGCACCGGCUAACUACGUG
This 468-nucleotide ribosomal RNA is filed under the name uncultured bacterium. RNAcentral describes it as "partial 16S ribosomal RNA". It matches the Rfam family "Bacterial small subunit ribosomal RNA", at positions 28 to 507 of the family's 1533-position model. The record is from RNAcentral.